Molecule: ribosomal RNA, 502 nt
Filed under: uncultured bacterium
Lineage: Bacteria
Description: partial 16S ribosomal RNA
Rfam family: Bacterial small subunit ribosomal RNA
Source: RNAcentral
AUUGAACGCUGGCGGCAUGCCUUACACAUGCAAGUCGAACGGCAGCACGGGUGCUUGCACCUGGUGGCGAGUGGCGAACGGGUGAGUAAUGCAUCGGAACGUGCCCAGUCGUGGGGGAUAACUAUCCGAAAGGAUAGCUAAUACCGCAUACGAUCUGCGGAUGAAAGCGGGGGACCUUCGGGCCUCGCGCGAUUGGAGCGGCCGAUGUCAGAUUAGGUAGUUGGUGGGGUAAAGGCUCACCAAGCCAACGAUCUGUAGCUGGUCUGAGAGGACGACCAGCCACACUGGGACUAAGACACGGCCCGGACUCCUACGGGAGGCAGCAGUGGGGAAUUUUGGACAAUGGGCGCAAGCCUGAUCCAGCAAUGCCGCGUGCAGGAUGAAGGCCUUCGGGUUGUAAACUGCUUUUGUACGGAACGAAAAGCCCCGGGUUAAUACCCUGGGGUCAUGACGGUACCGUAAGAAUAAGCACCGGCUAACUACGUGCCAGCAGCCGCCGUAA